UAGGAAGUGGUGUAGCGGAGGCACCAAGAGUUUUGAUCUCUUAAGGAGGGGUUCGAAUCCCCUCUUUCUAA
RNAcentral lists this transfer RNA (71 nucleotides) under Lampadena urophaos (sunbeam lanternfish). Its description in RNAcentral is "tRNA-Gln". It matches the Rfam family "tRNA". From Rfam's summary of the family: Transfer RNA (tRNA) molecules are approximately 80 nucleotides in length. Lineage: Eukaryota; Metazoa; Chordata; Actinopteri; Myctophiformes; Myctophidae. The record is from RNAcentral. RNAcentral also lists the same sequence under 1 other name.